UACGGAGGAUCCAAGCGUUAUCCGGAUUUAUUGGGUUUAAAGGGUGCGUAGGCGGAUUGAUAAGUUAGAGGUGAAAUGUCCGAGCUUAACUCGGGAACUGCCUCUAAUACUGUUGAUCUAGAGAGUAGAUGCGGUAGGCGGAAUGUAUGGUGUAGCGGUGAAAUGCUUAGAGAUCAUACAGAACACCGAUUGCGAAGGCAGCUUACCAAUCUAUAUCUGACGUUGAGGCACGAAAGCGUGGGGAGCAAGCAGG
RNAcentral lists this ribosomal RNA (253 nucleotides) under uncultured bacterium. RNAcentral's name for it is "partial 16S ribosomal RNA". It matches the Rfam family "Bacterial small subunit ribosomal RNA", at positions 524 to 776 of the family's 1533-position model. The record is from RNAcentral.